RNAcentral lists this ribosomal RNA (371 nucleotides) under uncultured organism. RNAcentral's name for it is "partial 16S ribosomal RNA". It matches the Rfam family "Bacterial small subunit ribosomal RNA", at positions 527 to 896 of the family's 1533-position model. The record is from RNAcentral.
GGGGGGGGCAAGCGUUGUUCGGAAUUACUGGGCGUAAAGGGCGCGUAGGCGGCCCAGAAAGUCUCUUGUGAAAUCCCACGGCUCAACUGUGGAACUGCAGGGGAAACUACUGGGCUUGAGUCCGGGAGAGGGUAGCGGAAUUCCCAGUGUAGCGGUGAAAUGCGUAGAUAUUGGGAGGAACACCGGUGGCGAAGGCGGCUACCUGGACCGGUACUGACGCUGAGGCGCGAAAGCUAGGGGAGCAAACGGGAUUAGAUACCCGGUAGUCCUAGCUGUAAACGUUGAGCACUUGGUGUAGCGGGUAUCGACCCCCUGCUGUGCCGUAGCUAACGCAUUAAGUGCUCCGCCUGGGGAGUACGGUCGCAAGGCUG